UUUUAAUAAUAUGCCUAUAACAUAUCAUGCUUAUUUCAAGACAAAAUAAUGGUUUCCUCCUAAUGGACUGUGGGCUUCCCUGCCCUAUUUGCUUAAUGACGUAGAGCAGUUUCCUUUUGUGCAUUAUUUGAGCAACUUCUGGUUGACACCAAGAACAAAGCUUAAAUUAAGUUUGUGGAGGAGAGGGAGGAGAAAGAUGGGGUGCCAGAUUCCCGUGGGAAGUGAGCAGAGGUAAGAAGAGCAAUGGAGGGAUUUGCGGCCCCUGCUAGAGUCUGCCAGGGUCCAGAAACAGAAUGUUCUGGAAGUGCUUCCUUCUCCCCAAAGCACCAGAAAUCUCAAGCUCUCUCUCUUUUUUUUUAAAUGGGAUUUGCAUAAGGAGUGAUCCCAGACUAGUAACAAGGGUGUAACCGGGGCCAGUCAUCUGGGCUGAUGGGCAGCUGGCCCCAGCUCAGCAUGGACAUGGAUCACUGCGGUCACUGGGUGCCCUGAGGGAUGGCAUGCUGCAGGCAGCAGUGGACACUUGGGAGCACGAGGGGCAGGGGGGCUGCAAACGGAACCAGAGGAGUGCCUUCCCUUGGCAGUAGUGCUGAGAGGGUGUCAUUGGCUUUAAGGCUGGUCAGGGCCAAUCUAGGGAGGGGGAGAGAUCUGAGGGACUCCCCACACCAUGAGCAGCUUGGUGGCCCAGAUGGGUGGUUUUGGGGAACUUUGUUCCCUGAGGAAGCUCACCCUCCUUCCAGGCAAAGAGCUUGAGGGAUUUAUGGAAACAGAUACCGAUUGUGGUGGGGGGUGAGGAGAUGGGCUUGAACUAAACUCCCCAACCCCCACCACUUCUCCAUCCCUGGUCAGAGGCAGACCCAGAAAAGACCAACUGGGCAAACCCUCACCAGCCCAGCCUGGCUCCAGAAGAAACCUCAGGUGACAGCUCAGAGGUUCUGUCGGCUGAGAAAGGGGCCCUGAAGACUUGGGCUGCAGCGGGGCUGCUGUGGACAUAACAGUUACCAGAGGUCGUACGUGUUGUGCUUACUGCAGGUUGAGCUCUGCUGCGGAUUCAUUUGUUCCUCCCAGCAGCCCCUGAACUGUGCACUCAGUGUCCCCAUUUUCCCAGGCACAGAGAUGUUAGCUGGUCAAGAUCACACAGGUGUAGGUGGCAGAGCUGGAUUUGAACCCAGUCAUGUGGGUUCAGGACCUUAAAAUCUGCCUGGGUUUGAUUUGUACCUUAGACCCAAAGGGACAGAGUGGCCAAUAUUUUUUCAGCACCAACAGACUUACUAGGUGACAUUAUCUCCAUUUCAUUCAUCUUCAGGGCUAUUAUUAUUAUUAUCC
This 1323-nucleotide long non-coding RNA is filed under the name Capra hircus (goat). RNAcentral describes it as "lncRNA (ENSCHIG00010019316.1)". Lineage: Eukaryota; Metazoa; Chordata; Mammalia; Artiodactyla; Bovidae. The record is from RNAcentral.